Molecule: ribosomal RNA, 253 nt
Filed under: uncultured bacterium
Lineage: Bacteria
Description: partial 16S ribosomal RNA
Rfam family: Bacterial small subunit ribosomal RNA
Source: RNAcentral
UACGUAGGGACCAAGCGUUGUUCGGAUUUACUGGGCGUAAAGGGCGCGUAGGCGGCGCGGUAAGUCACUUGUGAAAUCUCUGAGCUUAACUCAGAACGGCCAAGUGAUACUGCAGUGCUAGAGUGUGGAAGGGGCAAUCGGAAUUCUUGGUGUAGCGGUGAAAUGCGUAGAUAUCAAGAGGAACACCAGUGGCGAAGGCGACUUACUGGACACAUAUUGACGCUGAGGUGCGAAAGCGUGGGGAGCAAACAGG